RNAcentral lists this ribosomal RNA (495 nucleotides) under uncultured crenarchaeote. RNAcentral's name for it is "bacterial SSU rRNA". It matches the Rfam family "Archaeal small subunit ribosomal RNA", at positions 860 to 1354 of the family's 1478-position model. Lineage: Archaea; Thermoproteati; Thermoproteota. The record is from RNAcentral.
AGGAAUUGGCGGGGGAGCACCACAAGGGGUGAAGCUUGCGGUUUAAUUGGAGUCAACACCGGGAACCUUACCAGGGGCGACAGUUGGAUGAAGGUCAGAUUAAAGGUCUUACCGGACUAGCUGAGAGGAGGUGCAUGGCCGUCGCCAGUUCGUGCCGUGAGGUGUUCUCUUAAGUGAGAAAACGAACGAGACCCGUGCCCUUAGUUGCCAUCGUAUUCCCUCGGGAAUGCAGGCACACUAGGGGGACUGCCUCCGCUAAGGGGGAGGAAGGAGCGGGCCACGGCAGGUCAGUAUGCCCCGGAUCCCCUGGGCCACACGCGAGCUGCAAUGGCUGGGACAAUGGGCUCCGACCCCGAAAGGGGAAGGUAAUCCUCAAACCCAGCCUCAGUUGGGAUCGAGGGCUGCAACCCGCCCUCGUGAACAUGGAAUCCCUAGUAACCGCGUGUCAUCAUCGCGCGGUGAAUACGUCCCUGCUCCUUGCACACACCGCCCGUC